RNAcentral lists this ribosomal RNA (464 nucleotides) under uncultured bacterium. RNAcentral describes it as "partial 16S ribosomal RNA". It matches the Rfam family "Bacterial small subunit ribosomal RNA", at positions 29 to 507 of the family's 1533-position model. The record is from RNAcentral.
ACGAACGCUGGCGGCGUGCUUAACACAUGCAAGUCGAACGGAAAGGCCCUGCUUGCAGGGUACUCGAGUGGCGAACGGGUGAGUAACACGUGGGUGAUCUGCCCUGCACUUCGGGAUAAGCCUGGGAAACUGGGUCUAAUACCGGAUAGGAGCCAUUUUUAGUGUGAUGGUUGGAAAGUUUUUUCGGUGUAGGAUGAGCUCGCGGCCUAGCAGCUUGUUGGUGGGGUAAUGGCCUACCAAGGCGGCGACGGGUAGCCGGCCUGAGAGGGUGGACGGCCACAUUGGGACUGAGAUACGGCCCAGACUCCUACGGGAGGCAGCAGUGGGGAAUAUUGCACAAUGGGCGCAAGCCUGAUGCAGCGACGCCGCGUGGGGGAUGACGGCCUUCGGGUUGUAAACUCCUUUCGCUAGGGACGAAGCUUUUUGUGACGGUACCUAGAUAAGAAGCACCGGCUAACUACGUG